CAGGGACGGAGGUCAGGCUGCAGCAAGGCCUGCCCCCGCCGCAGGGUGGUGUUGGGUGUGGGGUCCGCUGGCGGGGUGGCCGGCUCAGCGUCUGGACCCCCGCCCCAGGUUCCCCUGUCUGGGUCCUGUUGUCAGCCACUUCUGGAAGCUCCAGGACUACUGUCUGGGCUGCGGGCAGCCCCACGACCAGGAGGACACGGAGAGCUUUGUGUCCUGCAGUACCCCGGGCUGCCGAGGUCUCUUCUGCUCCACCUGUUUCCGUCUCCUGGACAAUACCUGCUCUGUGUGCGCGGCUCCCCUCUCCCAGCAGGGGGGCCUGGACCUGGAGCUGUGAGUCUCCAGAGGGAUGGGGUGGCUGUAGUCCUGGGGGUGGGGGCAGGAGCUGCCACCUGAUGGGCGGCUUCUCCAGGGACUCCAGUGACGAGGAGGGCCCCCGGCUCUGGCUGGCUGCUGCUCGGACGAAGGGCCCUGAGCAGGAGUGGUUACUGCGGCAGCGGCUGCAGGAGGCCCUGGGCAGGACCCUCACUUCGGAGUCCAGCCCCGAGGUCAGUGACCUGGACGAGGAGAAGGGGCCUCGGCAGAGGACACACAGGUAGCAGCCCCCACCUGAGGCCCAGUCUCUCAGGAUUCCCAGCCUGCCUUGGCCCUCACUGACAUCCUCAGAAAUCCUCUGCCCUCAAAGCAGUCCCCCUCCAGCUUCAGAAGCCCAGCCCCUCAGUCUGUCCUCUCCUGAUCUCUCCCACCUACCCCCAAAAUAAAGGAACCAAAGGCAG
This 773-nucleotide long non-coding RNA is filed under the name Ursus americanus (American black bear). Its description in RNAcentral is "lncRNA (ENSUAMG00000014357.1)". Lineage: Eukaryota; Metazoa; Chordata; Mammalia; Carnivora; Ursidae. The record is from RNAcentral.